AAAAUAUACUAAGUUUAAAAUAGUAAUUCAUUUAGGUAUGGUGGUUGUUAAAAAGAGCAUAUAAAUAGAAAAAUUUGAUGUUUUGAAAGUAAUGUCUAUAAAACAUAAAUGAGUUAUGUUUAGCAAUGCUUAUAUUUGCAAGGAUGCUGUAUACGCCGUAACAGCAUUAUUAGAUGCACUUGUUAAAUUCAGUGCUGCUCGAACGUACUAUCAUGUAAUAUUGUAAGAUUCAAAUGGUUUCUGCUAUCUGUUUACUUACAGUUCUUGAUCAUAUGCCUAAAAAUGUAAAACAAUACCGAAUUUACUUAUUAAGUUCCAGUUCACCUGAGCAAACAACGGCGCGUUGCCCAACAAUUAUAACCGAGGAUAGUAAGAAUCUGAUUUUAUUAUAUAGUAUCCAAAUUUAGGAGCAAACAUUAUUUCAAUCAAAACAUCGCAUCUU
Schizosaccharomyces pombe (fission yeast) is the source of this 442-nucleotide non-coding RNA. The record is from the annotation of a GenBank genome assembly. NCBI's taxonomy places the organism in Eukaryota, Fungi, Ascomycota, Schizosaccharomycetes, Schizosaccharomycetales, Schizosaccharomycetaceae.